AAUAGAUACCCCGGUAGUCCACGCCGUAAACGAUGAGUGCUAGGUGUUAGGGGGUCCAACCCUUAGUGCCGAAGUUAACACAUUAAGCACUCCGCCUGGGGAGUACGGCCGCAAGGCUGAAACUCAAAGGAAUUGACGGGGGCCCGCACAAGCGGUGGAGCAUGUGGUUUAAUUCGAAGCAACGCGAAGAACCUUACCAGGUCUUGACAUCCCUCUGACCUCUCUAGAGAUAGAGAUCCCCCUUCGGGGGCAGAGGUGACAGGUGGUGCAUGGUUGUCGUCAGCUCGUGUCGUGAGAUGUUGGGUUAAGUCCCGCAACGAGCGCAACCCUUGAGAUUAGUUGCCAGCAUUCAGUUGGGCACUCUAAUCUGACUGCCGCAGACAAUGCGGAGGAAGGUGGGGAUGACGUCAAAUCAUCAUGCCCCUUAUGACCUGGGCUACACACGUGCUACAAUGGAUGGUACAAAGGGUUGCGAAGCCGUGAGGUGGAGCCAAUCCCAUAAAGCCAUUCUCAGUUCGGAUUGU
RNAcentral lists this ribosomal RNA (524 nucleotides) under uncultured bacterium. RNAcentral describes it as "bacterial SSU rRNA". It matches the Rfam family "Bacterial small subunit ribosomal RNA", at positions 777 to 1301 of the family's 1533-position model. The record is from RNAcentral.